This 1053-nucleotide long non-coding RNA is filed under the name Ficedula albicollis (Collared flycatcher). Its description in RNAcentral is "lncRNA (ENSFALG00000023282.1)". The record is from RNAcentral. Lineage: Eukaryota; Metazoa; Chordata; Aves; Passeriformes; Muscicapidae.
AUGAAGAUCGGGAUCGGGAUUGGGAUCUCGAUCAGGGUCAGGAUCGGGAUCGGGAUCGGGAUCAGGAAUGGCAUCAGGAUCAGGAUCGGGAAUGGGAUCGAGAUCGGAAUGGGAUUUGGAUCGGGAUCGGGAUCGGGAUGGGGAAUGGGACAAUGCAGGCUGGAUGGACCGGGAAUCGAUCCCACUGCGCGAUCGAUGGUUCCUGCCCCGAGCUCGGGGCGAGCACCGCCCGCUUCCAGCCGCUUCCUUUCCCUUUAUCCCGGUUUCCCAGGGGAGGAGCCCCCCCCCCCCCCCCCCCCCCCCCCCCCCCCCCCGCUUCCUUCCCCGUUAUCCCGGUUUCCCAGGGGAGGAGCGCUCCGGGAGCGGGGUGCGGGAGCAGCGCCCCCUCCUCCCCGGCCGCCUCCGUCCUCCCUCCCGCCUCACGGAGCGCCCGCUCGGGCCGGCAUCCUGGAAUUCCCGCACGGAUCGGGAGGGUCUGAGCCGCUUUCUUUCCCCUCCAACCUCCCGGGAUGCGCGGGCGGGACGGGAGAGCCGCGCCCCGACGGCAUCGGGAGCACCGGGCACGGGAAAGCGGCGGGGAUCGCCCGCAGGCUGAGCCGCGCUGACGGCUCGGCGUUUUGGGGGGUUAUUUCUGCAUUUUCGGGGCGUAGCGGCGGUGCGGGAGCGGCCGCGGGCGGGCGAGUGGGUGGUGGGCUGGGAGAAGGGGGUGGCGAGCGGGCGGAGGGGGAGGCUGGCAGAAAUGCAAAUCGCUGCCUCUCGCUGUGCCUCGGCAGCCCGGAGCCGCUCGCAGCUCAGCCCCGGCAGGCGCGGGGGCAGCGGGCGGGGUCCCCCCGGUCCCCCCGCCCCUCGGGCGGCUGGCAGGAGGAGGAUGAGGAGCGCCGGGAAGGGCUGCGGGUGGCGGAGAGGCACCUAGGAGAGGGUGAGUGGAGGGGAACAGGGGGACAGGAGAGCGGGGAGGAGGGCGGGGAUGAAAUAGGGAGAGGCGGCGGAGCGACGGAGGGAAAGGAAGGCGAAAGAAAUAAUUGGGAAAGGAGGAAUGAAAGCGGAGGAUGA